RNAcentral lists this ribosomal RNA (504 nucleotides) under uncultured microorganism. RNAcentral describes it as "bacterial SSU rRNA". It matches the Rfam family "Bacterial small subunit ribosomal RNA", at positions 8 to 526 of the family's 1533-position model. The record is from RNAcentral.
AGAGUUUGAUCAUGGCUCAGGAUGAACGCUGGCGGCGUGCAUAACACAUUCAAGUCGAACGGAGUUGUUUCCUUCGGGGAACGACUUAGUGGCGGACGGGUGAGUAACGCGUGAAUAACCUGCCUGUGUGUGGGGGAUAACAGUUGGAAACGACUGCUAAUACCGCAUAAUGUAUCCGACUCGCAUGGGAUGGAUACCAAAGAUUUAUUGCGCACAGAUGGAUUCGCGUCCGAUUAGAUAGUUGGUGAGGUAACGGCCCACCAAGUCAACGAUCGGUAGCCGGACUGAGAGGUCGACCGGCCACAUUGGAACUGAGAAACGGUCCAGACUCCUACGGGAGGCAGCAGUGGGGAAUAUUGGGCAAUGGGCGAAAGCCUGACCCAGCGACGCCGCGUGAGGGAAGAAGGUCUUCGGAUUGUAAACCUUAGUCAACAGGGAAGAAGAAAGUGACGGUACCUGUGGAGGAAGCCACGGCUAACUACGUGCCAGCCGCCGCGGUAAUAC